RNAcentral lists this transfer RNA (76 nucleotides) under Vibrio parahaemolyticus. RNAcentral's name for it is "tRNA-Gly". It matches the Rfam family "tRNA". From Rfam's summary of the family: Transfer RNA (tRNA) molecules are approximately 80 nucleotides in length. Their secondary structure includes four short double-helical elements and three loops (D, anti-codon, and T loops). Further hydrogen bonds mediate the characteristic L-shaped molecular structure. tRNAs have two regions of fundamental functional importance: the anti-codon, which is responsible for specific mRNA codon recognition, and the 3' end, to which the tRNAs corresponding amino acid is attached (by aminoacyl-tRNA synthetases). tRNAs cope with the degeneracy of the genetic code in two manners: having more than one tRNA (with a specific anti-codon) for a particular amino acid; and 'wobble' base-pairing, i.e. permitting non-standard base-pairing at the 3rd anti-codon position. Lineage: Bacteria; Pseudomonadati; Pseudomonadota; Gammaproteobacteria; Vibrionales; Vibrionaceae. The record is from RNAcentral.
GCGACACUAGCUCAGUUGGUAGAGCGCAACCUUGCCAAGGUUGAGGUCACGAGAUCGAACCUCGUGUGUCGCUCCA